Molecule: transfer RNA, 65 nt
Filed under: Mahasena oolona
Lineage: Eukaryota; Metazoa; Arthropoda; Insecta; Lepidoptera; Psychidae
Description: tRNA-Val
Source: RNAcentral
CAAAUUAAAGCUUAAUUAAGUAUUUCAUUUACCUUGAAAAGGUUAUUGUUUUACAAUUAGUUUGA